This 497-nucleotide ribosomal RNA is filed under the name uncultured bacterium. RNAcentral's name for it is "partial 16S ribosomal RNA". It matches the Rfam family "Bacterial small subunit ribosomal RNA", at positions 28 to 507 of the family's 1533-position model. The record is from RNAcentral.
GAUGAACGCUGGCGGCGUGCCUAAUACAUGCAAGUCGAGCGAACAGACGAGGAGCUUGCUCCUCUGACGUUAGCGGCGGACGGGUGAGUAACACGUGGAUAACCUACCUAUAAGACUGGGAUAACUUCGGGAAACCGGAGCUAAUACCGGAUAAUAUAUUGAACCGCAUGGUUCAAUAGUGAAAGACGGUUUUGCUGUCACUUAUAGAUGGAUCCGCGCCGCAUUAGCUAGUUGGUAAGGUAACGGCUUACCAAGGCGACGAUGCGUAGCCGACCUGAGAGGGUGAUCGGCCACACUGGAACUGAGACACGGUCCAGACUCCUACGGGAGGCAGCAGUAGGGAAUCUUCCGCAAUGGGCGAAAGCUUGACGGAGCAACGCCGCGUGAGUGAUGAAGGUCUUCGGAUCGUAAAACUCUAUUAUUAGGGAAGAACAAAUGUGUAAGUAACUAUGCACGUCUUGACGGUACCUAAUCAGAAAGCCACGGCUAACUACGUG